This 337-nucleotide unclassified non-coding RNA is filed under the name soil metagenome. RNAcentral describes it as "partial contains 5.8S ribosomal RNA, internal transcribed spacer 2, and large subunit ribosomal RNA". The stretch from base 1 to 120 matches the Rfam family "5.8S ribosomal RNA", at positions 35 to 154 of the family's 154-position model. The record is from RNAcentral.
GAUGAAGAACGUAGCGAAAUGCGAUAAGUAGUGUGAAUUGCAGAAUUCAGUGAAUCAUCGAAUCUUUGAACGCACAUUGCGCCCCUUGGUAUUCCAUGGGGCAUGCCUGUUCGAGCGUCAUUUGUACCUUCAAGCUCUGCUUGGUGUUGGGUGUUUGUCUCGCCUCUGCGUGUAGACUCGCCUCAAAACAAUUGGCAGCCGGCGUAUUGAUUUCGGAGCGCAGUACAUCUCGCGCUUUGCACUCAUAACGACGACGUCCAAAAGUACAUUUUUACACUCUUGACCUCGGAUCAGGUAGGGAUACCCGCUGAACUUAAGCAUAUCAAUAAGGGGAGGA